This 253-nucleotide ribosomal RNA is filed under the name uncultured bacterium. RNAcentral's name for it is "partial 16S ribosomal RNA". It matches the Rfam family "Bacterial small subunit ribosomal RNA", at positions 524 to 776 of the family's 1533-position model. The record is from RNAcentral.
GACGUAGGAGGCGAGCGUUGUCCGGAGUUACUGGGCGUAAAGCGUGCGCAGGCGGUUUUGUAAGCCAGAUGUGAAAUCCCCGGGCUUAACCUGGGAAUGGCAUUUGGGACUGCAAGGCUGGAGUGCGGCAGAGGAGACUGGAAUUCCUGGUGUAGCAGUGAAAUGCGUAGAUAUCAGGAGGAACACCGAUGGCGAAGGCAGGUCUCUGGGCUGACACUGACGCUCAUGCACGAAAGCGUGGGGAGCAAACAGG